This is a non-coding RNA of Trichobilharzia regenti, 48 nucleotides long. Lineage: Eukaryota; Metazoa; Platyhelminthes; Trematoda; Strigeidida; Schistosomatidae. The record is from Rfam.
AUCCAGCUGACUACGAGUCCCAAAUAUGACGAAAUGCGAAUCCUGGAU